UCCCCUUAAACUUAGAGGCCCUUUGGAUUCAGAUCUGAACCCAGCCUCAAAUUGCAUGUCUUAAGAAAAUCUCUUCUUAAAGCAAAACUUUAAAUGAUUCUUUGUGAAAACAUUCAUGUUUGGUGCAUUUUUAUAUUAGUUUAAGUACUAUUUGGCCAUUAGAUAACCUUGCUCUGAAACAACAUUGUGUAAGUAUGAAGUACUUGCUGAGUCACUUUUUAUUGGCAGUGCAGUAUAAUACCAAUGAGAGUUCCAAUGCUGACAUAAGUUUUUAAAUAUCAUUAUUCUAUAGCCCUGUACAUGCAUGCACAAUCUCGUGUGAGUGAAAAAUAAUUCACACCAUUUUAGUCAUUUAACCUCAUAGUGAUUUUUAAUUUAGAACAAUUUUUUAAACUAGAUUUUAAAAAGUCACGCUCUCUUUCACCCAAAAGCACAUGGAGAAAUAAGUAAUAUAUUUACAAAAAAGCUAUGUUCCACAAUCUGAGUUCUGCAAAACAGGGCUCAUAAACAUAGUGCUAACUUGGAAGUUGUGAUUUAAGAAAUGAACAGUCUGUCAUUAAAAAUUCUGCUUCUGGGGAUUGCAGAGAGUUCAGGGUUUGAGCAACUUCUGAAGAGAAACCAUAAUUUUCUGGUGAUGAACUGGAUUAGGGUAUAGAAAAGUGAAGAAGUGAGAAGCUCUUCCUGAUAACCCAAUUCCUCAAGAGGGAGGAGACAGACUACAAAAAAAUCUCCCUUGAGAACCCCUGGUACUACUGGAGGGAAGUUAGAUUAUGAGCUACCUCUAUAAAGAUCCUGCUUCUUAAGAGACAGAGCUAUUUCAUCCAUCAGUAGCAUCCCCAGACUCAGUACAGCUCUGGAUACAGUUAGGAACAAGAAAGAGCAGGUUGUACAAGCAGCCUUGUCCUGGUGUUUUAGGGAGCUGGAGGUUAAGUAUUUCCACUCAUGAACUUUAUCAUUGUGUAUUACUCUGUCUUUUUGCUUUUAAAUGGUACUUUGGGUUCUGUCUGAAACAGGGCAUUCAAAAGCUUAUGAAAGACAAAAAAAACCUCCCUUCUCUGCCCUGCUAACAAGAUGGAAUUUGGUCUAGUAAACAAAGCUUCUAUAAUUAAAAAUAUAGUUUUUGAUAUUCAGCUCUUUUUGUAUGCCAUAUAUAUAGUGACAAGUAGAAGCACUGUUCUUGUCUGUACAGUAUACAUUCAUGGACACCUGAAUCCUUCUUACAGGUACUUCUAAUCCCUUUUCAUUUUGGUAAACAGCAGUGGCAGGACAUGUCACAUAAAAAGAUACAAUUCUGAUGUGUAAUCCUGUACUUUACAGUCUCUAUAAGGGUGAUUCAUGGAAUUUAACAUGGGAAAGUAAAUUCUGUAGCCUACAAGUACUGACAGUGUCUCUUUAGCAGGUGAGUUGAGCCUUUGCUAAAGUACUGUUCUAGAAUAAAAUGAGCUGGUUGUCCAUGACUGAAUAGAACUCUCAAAGACUAACACAAUAUUACGUUGGUCCAACAGAAGGUAAGUCUGAGGUAUUUUUAAACAAUGGCCAUCAGGUUUUUUGCAUAAUCACUAGCAGAAUCAUAAACAAUAGAAGGUUUAACUAAUAUAUAAAAAUAAAACUCAAGUUAUUUUCACUUGACAUGUAAUGCCUUUAGGGUUUUUAUAAUUUUUACUUUUAAUUGGUUCCUUUCCUCUCUAUAUACAUUGUGGUCCUGAACCCUUUGAGCUGUUAACAAUACUUUAUGUACUAUGGUAUUAUGACAGCUACAAUGCAACAUAAAUAAUUUACUCUUCAGCAUUGAUAGGUCAUACCAUUGCUCCAAAAAUAUUCUUGGAAGUAUAAAUAUAAAGAGGGAGAGUAAACUCUGUUAUUGAAUUGAUGGAUUUUGUUUAAAUACUCAUUACAAGAAAAAGAUCUAUUUGCACAGUGGAUAAAAUGCUAAUUUUAUUUAAGUGUUAUUAAACAGAGAUUUUUGGCUAGAUUGUCAUUCCUAGAAAAAUUACACAGUCACUUGAUUUCUCAGGUCUUGUUUCUCCAUAAGAAUUUGCUUGCAUGGCUGCUACACUACAAGGGAAAACUGAAUCCAGGACUGACUGACUGUUUCCUAAACAAAUUGAGAAGUUGUCAUCAGGAAGCAUCUGUUACUUCAUUACUCUCACGAAAAAGCAUUCUUGUGCUAUCAUAACGGACUAUUGAGCAGAUGCUUUAAAGCACUAAACCCACAGCAAUGUCACUUUGCCGUUUGAUUUUGCCUCUCAGGUUACAUUUCAGCAGUGAACACACAAUCACAGGCACCGAAUUUCUAGGCCUGAUUCUGCCUGUACUUACUGUAGUGUAAAUUAAGAGUAAAACCAAAAAGAAAUCAAUGGAGUAAUACUAUGUGCAACUGUUUUACUGACCAAAGUUUCCCCAGAACCCCCACAAAUAUUUAUGGCACACCAGAUGACAUCAUGAGAGAGUAUGCCUCCUGAUAGCUGAUCAGGAGUUCUUCCCAGGCUGGAUGAUACUAUGAAAGAUAGACAAACUGAAUUAGCAGUGUACUUUGCAGAACACAAAUCUGAAUUGCAGCUUUUGUUCAAGAAGAGAAAAGGGGACCAUUAAACUGAAGAUUGUUCACCACAACUAUGAACAAUGAGAAAAAGACCAAGACUUCCCAGGGCCUCCAACACAUUUAGGGGCAUAAAAGGCAGAGUGACCCUGACCCUUCCACUGUUGCCUCACAAUUCAAAGGCUGUACUAGCUGAGGAUUUUCAAAGAAUGGAUGGAGGAUGAGUUGUGGAUCCACGACGACAUCACAAAGAACCAUCAUUACUGUUGGAGAUCUGUGAGGAGGUUGAGCUCGCUCCAUGUGAAACCGUGGGCAGCGAAGGAACUGAUGGGAGCUGGACCAUGUGAGAGAUCAAAAGGCACGAACGGCCUGAGGCGUGAGCCACACAUGCACAGUUCGGCUGAUGACUGCUCAUCAAAACUCCAAGCUGCGGCACCGGGACGAGCCUGACACCACCAGUGGAGCACUCACGGGGACACCACCACCAGUGGAGCACCUACGGGUACACCACUCGAAGAAGAAUCUCCAUUUUAAGACUGUAAUCUAAUUCCUGUGCCCUAGAAGGCAGAAGGUUCUGUGUUGAUGUACCUGAGACUAAACAUCAACUAUUAAGAGACUGCAGUUUGUUUUCAAGCUCUCUCCUAAUGGAGUGUUAAGAGCUUGGGGUUACCCCACGGGGAGAAGUUCACAAGUGCUUCUUCUUGGACGAAAGGGGUUUUUGCAUUUGGGUGGUGGCUGUGUACCACCAAAGGUCAGAAGUCUGUGACCUUGCGGAGUUUUUUAAACAGAAGCUUCUAGUGACAAGGUAUUUUAAGGUCUCUUGCAGGCCCUCACCUUCUGCACUCAAAGUGUCAGCAUGGGGAACAGUCUUGAGGGCUCCUCCAAAUUCACAGUCCAUUGUGGCUAAUUUUAUGGACACAGGAUUUGAACAGUGAUAAAUUUCACAUUUUCACCUGUUUAAAUCUGAAACUUCCCCGUGUUGUGACCCCAAAAGGAGAGGGGGAUCACAGACCUGUUGUAUGGUGUCAGAGGAUUGCCAUCCUCAUCUCUAUGCUGCUUUCAGAGCUGGACUCAGAAGUCAACAGCAACAGAAGGUUCCAAGAGGUAAAGGUGGCUCUGAUCUCCCCUCUGCUGCUGAGGUACCUCAGUUAGAGGCUCCUCGCUGCUAGUCCUGGGCAGCUUGCAAGAUACAAUACUUGCUCUCUCUCUCUCUCUCUCUCUCUCUGUGCAGCUGUAGAAAGCUCUGCGCCCCACACACACUUCUUGCCCUAUUGUUCCCUUACCCAGUCAGAGCUAGGAAGCCCUCUUUGAUGGUGCGCUCCCAGGAGCACAGGAAAGAUAUGAUACAACUCCACAAGUCUCCAGCUGCAGGAACCUCAGGCUGCUGCCCUGUCCCAGACAGUGUCCUGCAGCAAGGCGAAGCAACCAAUGGUGGGUCUGGUCUGGUCCCCUCCUCCCACCACCAGAGCAUUUUGCAGGGGAGGGACAGGUCCUGUCCUUCCCCUGCCCAGUCAUAAUUAGGAAGCCCCCUUUGAUACAGUGCCUAGGAACAAGGAGACAUCAGAUUUUAUGGAAAGGGACUUAUUUAAUGGUCCAUAACACUUUUUUCAUAGUUGUGAAAUUGGUAGGGUCCUAGUUAUGUUGAACCCUCCAAGCUGUGUUUAUAUUUCAUACAAUAGUGCCUUUCUGGCAUGGAGAGCAGGGCUAGGUCUCUGAUCUCAGAGUAAGUGCAAACAGUUACUAUCAAGACCUUCAGCGCUGAGGCUGGUGCACAAACCAUAAGUACUGCUUCUGGUCAUAAUAAGAGGAGAGGGAGAGUGAAACAAGGAGGUGGCACUGGCGGGGACUGGCAGAACAGGAAGUACUAAUACCUCCUUUUCUUUUAUGGAACCCAAGAAAAGUGUGGGUUGGACUGAUGAAAGGGCUGUAGAAUGUCAUGAAAGGUGCACCAUGGUUCCAGAAUGGAUCCCAUGGGGGCCAUCAGAGCCAAGCAUAGGAGUAUUUGGGCAGCAAUGUACUCUUGUGGUACACAGUGCCCUGGGUCAGUGGCCCAUAAGCCAGAGAAUGAAGUGAUCUACACCUGGGAUACAGAAUGUGAGCAUGGGCAGGUGAGUAGGAGAAGGUCCAGCUCCAAGAAACCCUCAGAAUGGGGUCCCAGAGAAUGGGUCUUGGAACUGUGGAUCUAAUGAUCCGUGGUUGGUGAAAAGCGUGUGCCUCUUUGGGAGGAGUAGUAAAGGUCCAUCUGGUGGAUAAGGCAGGACUGAACUGUGGGGGGAAGCAAAUAUAACAAUAUAAGGUAGCAGCUACUCUGCAGUAGGCACCAGCCAUUCUAGGCUGGGCAUACAGGGAACCGUUCAUGGCAGAUCAGAAAGGCCUGCCCAUGAUGAUGGUUCCAGAGUGUUGACCACGGGCAGUGGAAGCCUGGGUAGAAACUGAUGCUAAGAGGAGGAGAGGCAGGCAGGCUAAGUCCAGUACUAAUAUCUUUGUGUUAUAAAGAGUUCCUCUGCACUUUUCUGUCAGUCUUCCCACAACAUUCACUGGAGCACAGGCAGCAGUGCCAUAAGAAGCCUUUCUUCAAGUAUUGAUGCCCAACCCAGUACACAGCCUUGGAAUUUUUAAAAGAGCAGUGAGAGUUGGGCCAAAUGAUCAGUGAAACCAACAAUCUUUCAUACCACAGGCUCAUUACAAUCAACAGAAGUGUUGCAUGCUAAUUCUCUGCAGAGGAAAGGUGGUGAUUGGUUGAGUUACCUAUCAUGUCACGAUGGCCCCAUUUACGAGUUAGCUAAGAUGUUGAUCUGAGCCUGUUGAUAGACUAUAUAAUCACAGCAAUUAGAAAAAAAAAUCCUUACCCCUUGUAAUUAAGUUAAUCUAAUUUAUUCAAAUAUAGCCUAUGCGCAAGAUUUCAAUUAAUUCUAACUAUAUGGGAAGUUUGAAAUGUGCGUGCUAAUCUCUUUUAGAUCAUUUAGGACAAACAAGGGACCUACACAGAUGCUCAGUUUCUUAAAGGACUCCACUGUAAUUAUUUUAACUAAUAAACUAAUAUAUUUAAUUAUACAUUCUUAGAAAACUCAGAAAAUUCAUUCUGUAUAAUGGGUAAGUGCUUAAAGAGUGCUCUCAAAAAAGGUGAUGGUACGCCGUACCAGUGCAUACUGUCACAGAGAAAUCACUGACCAUAGGUAUCCCAGAAAAUCUAUGCUGUGUUGAAGUAGUGUGUCCACUUUUUUGGAACAAUUUUGCAGACAUGUUCUUCCGCCAUCCCUGUAAUCCUCAUUGUAUGAGGAAGAAGGGAUGUU
Molecule: long non-coding RNA, 5832 nt
Organism: Pelodiscus sinensis (Chinese soft-shelled turtle)
Lineage: Eukaryota; Metazoa; Chordata; Testudines; Trionychidae
Source: RefSeq, a predicted model, not a curated record